Molecule: ribosomal RNA, 460 nt
Filed under: uncultured bacterium
Lineage: Bacteria
Description: partial 16S ribosomal RNA
Rfam family: Bacterial small subunit ribosomal RNA
Source: RNAcentral
CCUACGGGAGGCAGCAGUGAGGAAUAUUGGUCAAUGGACGAGAGUCUGAACCAGCCAAGUAGCGUGAAGGAUGACUGCCCUAUGGGUUGUAAACUUCUUUUAUAUGGGAAUAAAACGUUCCACGUGUGGGAUUUUGUAUGUACCAUAUGAAUAAGGAUCGGCUAAAUCCGUGCCAGCAGCCGCGGUAAUACGGAGGAUCCGAGCGUUAUCCGGAUUUAUUGGGUUUAAAGGGAGCGUAGGUGGAUUGUUAAGUCAGUUGUGAAAGUUUGCGGCUCAACCGUAAAAUUGCAGUUGAAACUGGCAGUCUUGAGUACAGUAGAGGUGGGCGGAAGUCGUGGUGUAGCGGUGAAAUGCUUAGAUAUCACGAAGAACUCCGAUUGCGAAGGCAGUUCACUGGACUGCAACUGACACUGAGGCUCGAAAGUGUGGGUAUCAAACAGGAUUAGAUACCCUAGUAGUC